UGUCAGCCUCAAUGGAGGACAAACAACAACAACCAUAUCUGAAGAUACCACAGACGAAAAGCAGCUUACAUUGAUCAUAGUAACAGGGGUUACAGCAGGCCAGACCGUAUCGUGUGACUUAAAUCCUUCUCAAACGGAAUUCUGGGUAAAAUUGGAUCCCGCCUCUGGACAGUAUGGAGUUUACUUGACAGCAAUGCCGAACCUCGAUUUCGACACAACAUCAAUGUAUAGUCUCGUUGUGGAAUGUACAGACGGAGUCAGCACAACACAAGAAACCUUCACAGUAAACAUUGAUAAAAACAAGUAUCCAACCAUAUCAAACCUAUAUAACUACACCACUUUGUCCACUGCAAAUACGCCGACUGGUACCGUGGUGUUCUCAGUGUUAGCCUUGGAUCCAGAAAAUGAUCAACUAACAUUUGGAAUGGUCUGUUAUGUGCUAAGCUCUUCAGCUACAUGUCCAUUUGAAAUUUUUGACUGUAAG
Long non-coding RNA from Mytilus californianus (California mussel), 484 nucleotides. RefSeq lists it as uncharacterized. The transcript has 3 exons. NCBI's taxonomy places the organism in Eukaryota, Metazoa, Mollusca, Bivalvia, Mytilida, Mytilidae. The record is from RefSeq and is a predicted model, not a curated record.